GACGAACGCUGGCGGCGUGCUUAACACAUGCAAGUCGAACGGUGAAGCGCCUUCCUUUUUGGUGGGUGUGGAUGAGUGGCGAACGGGUGAGUAACACGUGAGUAACCUGCCCCCUUCUUCUGGAUAACCGCAUGAAAGUGUGGCUAAUACGGGAUAUUCUGGGUCUGUCGCAUGAUGGGUCUGGGAAAGAUAUUGUUUCGGUGGGGGAUGGGCUCGCGGCCUAUCAGCUUGUUGGUGGGGUGAUGGCCUACCAAGGCGGUGACGGGUAGCCGGCCUGAGAGGGUGGACGGUCACACUGGGACUGAGACACGGCCCAGACUCCUGCGGGAGGCAGCAGUGGGGAAUAUUGCACAAUGGGCGCAAGCCUGAUGCAGCGACGCCGCGUGAGGGAUGGAGGCCUGCGGGUUGUGAACCUCUUUCGCCAGUGAAGCAGGCCUGCCUCGUUUGUGGGUGGGUUGACGGUAGCUGGAUAAGAAGCGCCGGCUAACUACGUG
This 494-nucleotide ribosomal RNA is filed under the name uncultured bacterium. RNAcentral's name for it is "partial 16S ribosomal RNA". It matches the Rfam family "Bacterial small subunit ribosomal RNA", at positions 28 to 507 of the family's 1533-position model. The record is from RNAcentral.